UUUCAUCGUGAUUAACAAUAGUUCAUCAUCUAAGUCUUCUUCCUCCAUUUCAUUCGACAUUGGAUUCUCGAUAUUUACUAUUUUUGAAGGACUCUCAAUGGGUUUUUCCUAAUUUUAUACCUAUUUAGACUCUCUCCCCAAUAAUGACUAGAUAAUAGAAAUUUAGUGAAGAGGUUUCAAUCAUUCUCUCAUAAAGUAGGGGAUCAAUU
RNAcentral lists this long non-coding RNA (209 nucleotides) under Lathyrus oleraceus (garden pea). RNAcentral's name for it is "Pisum sativum (pea) long non-coding RNA (PSAT_LNC031134)". Lineage: Eukaryota; Viridiplantae; Streptophyta; Magnoliopsida; Fabales; Fabaceae. The record is from RNAcentral.